GAGUGCGCUGCUACCAUGCAGUCGACGGAAGGCCCAGCUUGCUGGGUGCUCGAGUGGCGAACGGGUGAGUAACACGUGGGUGAUCUGCCCCUGACUUUGGGAUAAGCCUGGGAAACUGGGUCUAAUACCGGAUAUGACCAGUUGGUGCAUGCCUUCUGGUGGAAAGCCUUGUGCGGUUGGGGAUGGGCCCGCGGCCUAUCAGCUUGUUGGUGGGGUAAUGGCCUACCAAGGCGACGACGGGUAGCCGACCUGAGAGGGUGAUCGGCCACACUGGGACUGAGACACGGCCCAGACUCCUACGGGAGGCAGCAGUGGGGAAUAUUGCACAAUGGGCGCAAGCCUGAUGCAGCGACGCCGCGUGAGGGAUGACGGCCUUCGGGUUGUAAACCUCUUUCACCAGGGACGAAGCUUUUGUGACGGUACCUGCAGAAGAAGCACCGGCCAACUACGUGCCAGCAGCCGCGGUAAUACGUAGGGUGCGAGCGUUGUCCGGAAUUACUGGGCGUAAAGAGCUCGUAGGCGGUUUGUCGCGUCGUCUGUGAAAUUCUGCAGCUUAACUGCAGGCGUGCAGGCGAUACGGGCAGACUUGAGUACUACAGGGGAGACUGGAAUUCCUGGUGUAGCGGUGAAAUGCGCAGAUAUCAGGAGGAACACCGGUGGCGAAGGCGGGUCUCUGGGUAGUAACUGACGCUGAGGAGCGAAAGCGUGGGUAGCGAACAGGAUUAGAUACCCUGGUAGUCCACGCCGUAAACGGUGGGUACUAGGUGUGGGGCUCAUUUCACGAGUUCCGUGCCGUAGCUAACGCAUUAAGUACCCCGCCUGGGGAGUACGGCCGCAAGGCUAAAACUCAAAGGAAUUGACAGGGGCCCGCACAAGCGGCGGAGCAUGUGGAUUAAUUUCGAUGCAACGCGAAGAACCUUACCUGGGUUUGACAUACACCAGAUGCGGCUAGAGAUAGUCGUUCCCUUGUGGUUGGUGUACAGGUGGUGCAUGGCUGUCGUCAGCUCGUGUCGUGAGAUGUUGGGUUAAGUCCCCGCAACGAGCGCACCCUUGUCCUGUAUUGCCAGCGGGUUAUGCCGGGUACUUGCAGAAAACUGCCGGGGUCACUCGGAGAGGUGGGGGAUGACGUCAGUCAUCAUGCCCCUUUAUGUCCAGGCCUCCACACAUGCCUACAAUGACCCGUACAGAAGGCUUGGCGAAUACCCGUGGAGGUGUAAG
This 1218-nucleotide ribosomal RNA is filed under the name Gordonia sp. (in: high G+C Gram-positive bacteria). Its description in RNAcentral is "bacterial SSU rRNA". It matches the Rfam family "Bacterial small subunit ribosomal RNA", at positions 41 to 1271 of the family's 1533-position model. The record is from RNAcentral. Lineage: Bacteria; Bacillati; Actinomycetota; Actinomycetes; Mycobacteriales; Gordoniaceae.